This is a small nuclear RNA of Oryctolagus cuniculus (rabbit), 107 nucleotides long. Lineage: Eukaryota; Metazoa; Chordata; Mammalia; Lagomorpha; Leporidae. The record is from Ensembl.
AUGCUCGCUUCGACAGCACAUAUACUAAAAUUGGAAUGAUACAGAGAAGAUUAGCAUGGCCCCUGUGCAAGGAUGACAUGCAAAUUCGUGAAGCGUUCCAUAAAAAA